Long non-coding RNA from Mesocricetus auratus (golden hamster), 3688 nucleotides. RefSeq lists it as uncharacterized. The transcript has 3 exons. The record is from RefSeq and is a predicted model, not a curated record. Lineage: Eukaryota; Metazoa; Chordata; Mammalia; Rodentia; Cricetidae.
CCUUAGGCGGAGUCCCACCUCACUGUAGCAGAGGGACUCCCUACAAAGGGACCUGCAGCUUCCAGGGUGGCUGAGUCAUCCUCCCAACCUGAGGGGGGUCAUGAUCCCCCAGCAUAGGCUCUGCUACAGAAACCUACUGCCGUCUCCCAUCUCCACCGCACCAAGGGCUCCUGAGGUGACGGGGAUUGGGACAGGGGAUGGCAGGGAGGGGAAGUCAGGGUCGCUGUGAUUCUGAAGGACCUCGAGAGCUGCUCCGGGCCCACAUCCAGCCCACAGGGGCUCACUCGGCUCUCAGCGGGCCUGGCUGACCUCAGGUCUUAAGGGUGCCUACACACACCCUGCUCGACCCUUGAUUUUAUGUAGCAGGGCCCAGUGGUCAGGCGUGAGCCAGUGGAGGGCCGUGGGCACCUGCUGAGUCACAUGUCACAGGCCCUGAGGCCUCGGUGUCUGGAUGUGCCGAGUGAGGCCCCACUGCACGGGCAUGUCUGGCUUGAAGCUGCCAGGUCCCCUAGCCCAACUCUCUGGUGCCAUGGGAACUUGGCAGUGACAAGACCGGGUGGGGCUGGGGGCAGCUGAUAGUGACUCAGCCGAGGGCAUUCCCGGGGGAUGUGUCACGGCACGGCCUGGGUGCUGCCACUCUCCCACCCUCUAGCGAGGCCUGCCAAGGAGGAGCCACCCAGUCAUGGGCUGACCCGAGCACCUGUGCAGGCUGCUCUUCCUCCUCCUCCCAGAGGGUCCAGCUCUCAGGAACAAGGGCCACCAGGGAAUCAAAGACGACAUUCGGGAGGGACAAGGCUAUUUGAGCUCAAAGCCUGCAGCCGGUUCCUGCUCUCAUCUCCCCUCAGGGCAAGCAGGGGCCUUGACUCAGAAGGGAGGGGUGGAGUCACCUGCACCUGGGAAGAAAUCCCUGUGCCCCUGUGCGGGGCAGCUCCUAAGGGGCAGGUGACAAGCCUGUGGACCAGGAGGCCCAGGUCCAGUUGAGGCCCUGGGCCGUUGGUACCCUCGAUACCAGCACUGUGUCCGGACUUGAAAUCCCUUCCUGGUCUGCCUCAUGACACCCAACGACUCUGCCCGCCACGCCUCCUUCAUCACUGGGACGCCAGGACCCUGGAGAGGACCCUCAUGGUCCUCUGUCCUCUCCGGUCCACACUGGGGUCAGGGAGAAGCUGGCGGCAGGAGUGGCCGGAAGUGUGUUUGCCCUGUGUGCAGGUGUGGGGAAUGGGGGGCACGGCCCUCCCGCUCCAGGCCUCCUGGGCCCAGAUCCAAUUUUCCAUCUGAGAAAGUACUUCUGACUAUUAAAUAUUUAUCCCAGCAAAGCAGGCCUUGGCUCCCUUGGCCCAUGACUUCCAAAAAAAGAAAAAUGAAGGGAAACCCAGAGGCAGAGGCAGGGAACAGGAAGACAGGGCCCCUGGAGACAUGCCCUUCACAGAACAACAGCUUCCCUUGGAGUGGGGUCCAAAAUUGGGAGUUUCCACCAAACUAAACCUCCCUGGGUUCGCAGAUACACCCUUCCCUCUGUCCAACCCCAUACCCCCAGACCCUGCUCCCUAUCUAAGAACUACCCAGAUCCAGGCUGGUGACGAGGUUACUAUUGCCUGUGGCCCCCUCCUCGUGGACACCUGUGAGCCCUCCGUGACUCCUCCCAGGCCACCUCCCACUUGCUGGACCAGCAAUGGGUAAAUCUCUGCUUUCCCUCCUAAGUCUGGGGACCUCCAGGGGGCAGUGGCGUCAGCUCUCAGGCACAGAUGGACAGGAAGAGAUGAAUGACAUCUCUCACACUUGACACCAUCCCUGAAUGCAGGAUGUGUCUCCUCCCUGGGCAGAGGACAAAGCCAGUGAGAUCUUGACUUUUUGCUCCCAGGUGGCAGAGAAGCCCAGGUAAGUAAGAGCUCCACUGCCAGGGCUCAAGCCUCUCCUCCCUAGCCAAGCCGGUCCAAGCUGUGCCUGGAACACAGACGUCUUCAGGAAAGGGUACGGAGGAGGUCAUAGAAGGAAGGACACAGAAGGCUAGUAAAAUGCUCCCAUCAGAGGCAGCAACUAGUGCCGCCCAGGACAGACGAGCCUGUCUGAUCAGAGAGAGGACAUAAGGGCAUUGCCGCAGGCCCAGCCUCGUGGAGGUGGGCACAGCUGCCCAGCACAGGAGGUUGGGAGGCUGGGGGUCUGCUAGCUCCAUCCUCCUCCCUACUCUCAGGCCCAAACCACCCCUUUCUUGGCUGAUAAUAAAAAAAAUGUAGGUGCAGUCUGGGGCUUAGAGAGAGCAGGAUGAACACAGCCCUGUCCCCUGAGUCAUCCAAAGGAAGAGCCUAGCCGGACAGUGGUGGCACAUGCCUUUAAUCCCAGCACUCAGGAGACAGAGGCAAGCGGCUCUCUGAGUUUGAGGCCAGCACAGUCUACAGAGUGGGUUCCAGGAUACCCAGGGCUGUGCAGAGAAACCCUGCCUCAAAAAUAAAAAAAAUAGAGAAUAGAAAAGACCCUGGGGUGUUGUUAGCGAUUCCUACAGCCCCCAACACAGCUUUUAGCCCACCUCAUUCAAGUAGGGAAGUGAUCCCAGCUAACCAAUACCCAUGGCUUCCCCCUCGGUGCCUCUCCGUGGACCCUGCGAAGCUGAGGAGGGGCCGCAGAGCCCAGCCUCUUUUCUGCCCUGCCUGGCAGGACAGGACAGCUGGUAUCUUUCAGAGCCACCUAUCCCCUCUCUCGGCUGGGUGCCUACAGAGGUCCACCAUGAUGCAGGGCUCAGCGUCCCUGCCUCGGGCUUCUGUACCCCAUCUUCAGAACAGGAACACAGAUUCCUACCAGCAUGGGCAACCCCACCCAGGAGAUGACAGAGCAGCACAGCACGUGGCCUCACUGAAGGCACGGCUCUCUCAGCAUGGCAGCCCAGGCACUCCUGGGCACAGAUGUCAGGUCUGCUCCUACACCCCGACCCCAAGACUGGGCACCUAAACAUCUGCUCUGGCCCUAUACUCUUUAGGAGAAAGAGGUAGUCACACCACAGCUCCCAACUCCAAAGAAAGAACAUCCAGACAUCCCUCAUGAUGCCACAGCACCUGGGGACUCCCUGGACGCACCAGGAGUUUCUUGAAGAACGCUGGGAGUUAGUGCCUAGGCUGUGCCAGGCUGGUGCAGAUACGGCACCCGGACCACGGCUUGGAAAACAUGACUGCCCGUCACUCUAACUCUCUGAGAUUCGGCUAUGCCUCUGGGGAGAAACCCACAUACAUGCCCUGAGGGUACAUCCCCAGCACAUCCACCAGGGGGCAGCCUCUGAGCAAGUUAGCUGGAACCACGGUGGCUCUGCUCUGGACUUUGGAGGGAGUGUCCUUUUGGAGAAUGUGUAUCCUGGGUCUCCGUGCAGGGUUGAGGACAGCCUGGGCAGAACCAUCCAGGCCCUUAUCCUGAACGUCUCCUACCAGAGCUGCAGAAGAGGCCACUGCUCUAACUCCCUAAGAGCAGGUGGACACAAGGAGAACUGCUCCAGACAAGCUGGGGAGACACCAGUUAAAAUCGGGAAGAAACACUAUCGAGUGAGCGAGUGGGAAAGGCACACCCUUGGGGAUGGGGUACAGAAUGUGAGUAAAUUGGGGGCGGGGGUCUGGAGAGAUGGCUCAGAGGUUAAGAGCCCUGGCUGCUCUUCCAAGAGUCCUGAGUUCAAUUCCCAGCAACCACAUGGUGGCUCACAACCAUCUGG